GGGCNUGCGUCUCAUUAGCUAGUUGGUAGGGUAAUGGCCUACCAAGGCAACGAUGAGUAGCUGGUCUGAGAGGAUGAUCAGCCACACUGGAACUGAAACACGGUCCAGACUCCUACGGGAGGCAGCAGUGGGGAAUAUUGCGCAAUGGGCGAAAGCCUGACGCAGCAACGCCGUGUGAGGGAUGAAGGCUUUCGGGUCGUAAACCUCUGUCGGAAGGGAAGAACGGGCAUUGGUCUAAUAGGCCUUUGUUUUGACGGUACCUUUAGAGGAAGCACCGGCUAACUCCGUGCCAGCAGCCGCGGUAAUACGGAGGGUGCAAGCGUUAUUCGGAAUUACUGGGCGUAAAGCGCACGUAGGCCGCUUUGUAAGUCAGGGGUGAAAUCCCACGGCUCAACCGUGGAACUGCCUUUGAAACUGCAGAGCUUGAAUCCUGGAGAGGGUGGCGGAAUUCCUGGUGUAGGAGUGAAAUCCGUAGAUAUCAGGAGGAACACCGGUGGCGAAGGCGGCCACCUGGACAGGCAUUGACGCUGAGGUGCGAAAGUGUGGGGAGCAAACAGGAUUAGAUACCCUGGUAGUCCACACCGUAAACGAUGGACGCUAGAUGCCGGAG
This 610-nucleotide ribosomal RNA is filed under the name uncultured delta proteobacterium. RNAcentral describes it as "bacterial SSU rRNA". It matches the Rfam family "Bacterial small subunit ribosomal RNA", at positions 227 to 828 of the family's 1533-position model. Lineage: Bacteria; Deltaproteobacteria. The record is from RNAcentral.